CUGAAUUUUUAGCAAAGAAAGCGAGUGGGCGAACUGGUGAGUUACACGUCCCGGGAAAGUCUGCCCAGAAGCAGGGUGAUCAACGAUUACUUGCGAAACCAGGUGCUAAUACGCGUAUAACAACCAACAAUCCGCACUGAGAUUUUGUUUAAAAGGUGAGCUUCGGCUAUCGACUUGGCAACUGGAUGAUCCCGUCGGCUGUAUUACGUUAGUUGGUGAGGUCAUAAGGCCCACCAAGACGAUGAUACGUCAGCCGCACCUGAGACCGGUUUGUAAUCGGCAGUCACAUUUGGGUGCCCAACUGAGACACGGCCCAAACGAUCCUACGGGAGGCAGCACGUAGCGGAAUCUUACCACAACAUGGCACGAAACGUGCUGAUGGCAGCAAUGCACGACGUGUCAGUCUGAACCCGAAGGGUUUCGGCUCGUAAAACUCUGAUUGUUAGAAGAAGUCAACACCUUGUGAGAGUAACUGUUCAAGGGUUGACGGUAUUUAACCAGAAAGUCCACGGCUAACUACGUGCCAGCAGCCGCGGUAAUACGUAUGAGUGGCAAGCGUUGUCCGGAUUUAUUGGGCGUAAAGCGGAGCGCUUAGUGCGGUUUUUUAAGUACUGAUGUGCGAAAGCCUUCGGCUUAACACGGAGAAGUGCAUCGGAAACUGGGAUGGACUUGCAGUGCAGAAGAGGACAGUUGGAUACUCCAUGCUGUAGCGGUGGAAUGCGUCAGAUAUAUGGAAGAACACCAGCCUGCGCGAAGGCGGCUGUCUAGUCCAUGUAACUGACGCAUGAGGCUGCGAAAGCAUGGAGUAGCGAACAGGAUUAGACUACCCUGGUAGUCCAUGCCAGUAAACGAUGCAGUGGUAAGUGUUAGGCCGAGGGCUUUCACGCCAGACUUCAGUAGCUGCAUGCUAACGCAUUAAGCACAAUCCGCCGGACAACG
RNAcentral lists this ribosomal RNA (939 nucleotides) under Levilactobacillus brevis. RNAcentral's name for it is "bacterial SSU rRNA". It matches the Rfam family "Bacterial small subunit ribosomal RNA", at positions 68 to 873 of the family's 1533-position model. The record is from RNAcentral. Lineage: Bacteria; Bacillati; Bacillota; Bacilli; Lactobacillales; Lactobacillaceae.